This 676-nucleotide ribosomal RNA is filed under the name uncultured bacterium. RNAcentral's name for it is "bacterial SSU rRNA". It matches the Rfam family "Bacterial small subunit ribosomal RNA", at positions 8 to 677 of the family's 1533-position model. The record is from RNAcentral.
AGAGUUUGAUCCUGGCUCAGGAUGAACGCUAGCGGCAGGCUUAACACAUGCAAGUCGAGGGGCAGCGUGGAGUAGCAAUACUCUGACGGCGACCGGCGAAAGGGUGAGUAACGCGUGAGCAACAUGCCCGGUACCGGGGGAUAGUCGAUGGAAACGUCGUGUAAUACCCCGUAACAACAGAGGCCGCAUGACCUUUGUUUAAGAGAUUUAUCGCUACCGGAUUGGCUCGCGUCCCAUUAGGCAGUUGGCGGGGUAACGGCCCACCAAACCGACGAUGGGUAGGGGUUCUGAGAGGAAGGUCCCCCACAUUGGAACUGAGACACGGUCCAGACUCCUACGGGAGGCAGCAGUGAGGAAUAUUGGACAAUGGCCGAGAGGCUGAUCCAGCCAUGCCGCGUGCGGGAGGACGGCCCUAUGGGUUGUAAACCGCUUUUGUUGGGGAGCAAUAAGGUCCACGUGUGGAUCGACGAGAGUACCCAGCGAAUAAGCAUCGGCUAACUCCGUGCCAGCAGCCGCGGUAAUACGGAGGAUGCAAGCGUUAUCCCGGAUUUAUUGGGUUUAAAGGGUGCGUAGGCGGAAGCUUAAGCGUGAGGUGAAAUGCCGGGGCUCAACUCCGGAACUGCCUCGCGAACUGGGUUUCUUGAAUGCCCCUGCCGUGGGAGGAAUGUGUGGUGUA